GCAAUCAGGGAAAUGAUUUCAGUAGCAAUUUAGAUCGGAGCUCGCUUCAGGGUGAACUCCGAUUGCGAGGAUGUACCCGGUCGAGCUCGCGGCGGCCCCCGGGCGGAGAGUGAUGGAUAUGCCCGGUGCGUUUGGCACCCGGGCGUGAUAUUGCCGCCGGGAAUAUAGAGAGAUUGAAGUUUUCGCCGCAAUCUACCAGGACCCGCUCGCUGACGGCGGGCCCUGUUUUU
RNAcentral lists this small RNA (230 nucleotides) under Sinorhizobium meliloti 2011. RNAcentral's name for it is "putative ncRNA". Lineage: Bacteria; Pseudomonadati; Pseudomonadota; Alphaproteobacteria; Hyphomicrobiales; Rhizobiaceae. The record is from RNAcentral.